CAAGUUGAGCGAGGCCGGUAGCAAUACCGAGUCGAGCGGCGAACGGGUGAGUAACGCGUGGAUGACCUGCCCUUGAGUGGGGAAUAACCCGGGGAAACUCGGGCUAAUACCGCAUAAGACCGAGAGGUGAAAGCGGGGUCGCAAGAUCUCGUGCUCAUGGAGGGGUCCGCGUUCGAUUAGCUAGUUGGUAGGGUAAUGGCCUACCAAGGCGACGAUCGAUAGCCGGCCUGAGAGGGUGAUCGGCCACACUGGAACUGAGACACGGUCCAGACUCCUACGGGAGGCAGCAGUGGGGAAUUUUGCGCAAUGGGCUAACGCCUGACGCAGCAACGCCGCGUGGAGGAUGAAGGUCUUUGGAUUGUAAACUCCUGUCAGCAGGGAAAAAGGGAAGGGUGCUAAUACCACUCUGACUUGAUUGUACCUGCAGAGGAAGCCCCGGCUAACUCUGCGCCAGCAGCCGCGGUAAUACAGAGGGGGCAAGCGUUAUUCGGAAUUAUUGGGCGUAAAGGGCGCGUAGGCGGCUUUUCAAGUGACGGGUGAAAUCCCUCGGCUUAACCGAGGAACUGCCUGUCAGACUGGAAGGCUUGAGACCGGGAGAGGUGAGUGGAAUUCCCAGUGUAGCGGUGAAAUGCGUAGAUAUUGGGAGGAACACCAGUGGCGAAGGCGGCUCACUGGACCGGAACUGACGCUGAGGCGCGAAAGCGUGGGGAGCAAACAGGACUAGAUACCCUGGUAGUCCACGCCGUAAACGAUGAGUGCUUGGUGUAGCGGGUAUCGACCCCUGCUGUGCCGAAGUCAACACAUUAAGCACUCCGCCUGGGGAGUACGGUCGCAAGACUGAAACUCAAAGGAAUUGACGGGGGCCCGCACAAGCGGUGGAGCAUGUGGUUUAUUCGAAGCACGCGCA
This 907-nucleotide ribosomal RNA is filed under the name uncultured Pseudomonadota bacterium. RNAcentral describes it as "bacterial SSU rRNA". It matches the Rfam family "Bacterial small subunit ribosomal RNA", at positions 58 to 965 of the family's 1533-position model. Lineage: Bacteria; Pseudomonadati; Pseudomonadota. The record is from RNAcentral.